RNAcentral lists this ribosomal RNA (253 nucleotides) under uncultured bacterium. RNAcentral's name for it is "partial 16S ribosomal RNA". It matches the Rfam family "Bacterial small subunit ribosomal RNA", at positions 524 to 776 of the family's 1533-position model. The record is from RNAcentral.
GACAGAGGUGCCAAGCGUUAGGCGGAAUCACUGGGCUUAAAGCGUGUGUAGGCGGAAUGGUAAGUACCUUGUGAAAUCCCACGGCUCAACCGUGGAACUGCUUGGUAUACUGCUUUUCUUGAGCCACUUAGGGGCUGUCGGAACAAACGGUGGAGCGGUGAAAUGCGUAGAUAUGCGGAGGAACACCGAUGGCGAAGGCAAUCCCCUGGGCCUGCACUGACGCUCAUGCACGAAAGCGUGGGGAGCAAACAGG